This 70-nucleotide transfer RNA is filed under the name Formica rufibarbis. RNAcentral's name for it is "tRNA-Leu". Lineage: Eukaryota; Metazoa; Arthropoda; Insecta; Hymenoptera; Formicidae. The record is from RNAcentral. RNAcentral also lists the same sequence under 4 other names.
UUUAAUAUGGCAGACUAAGUGCAAUGGAUUUAAACCCCAUAAAUAAAGUUAUCUCAUUCUUUUAUUAAAA